This 497-nucleotide ribosomal RNA is filed under the name uncultured bacterium. Its description in RNAcentral is "partial 16S ribosomal RNA". It matches the Rfam family "Bacterial small subunit ribosomal RNA", at positions 28 to 507 of the family's 1533-position model. The record is from RNAcentral.
GAUGAACGCUGGCGGCGUGCCUAAUACAUGCAAGUCGAGCGAACAGAUGAGGAGCUUGCUCCUCUGACGUUAGCGGCGGACGGGUGAGUAACACGUGGAUAACCUACCUAUAAGACUGGGAUAACUUCGGGAAACCGGAGCUAAUACCGGAUAAUAUAUUGAACCGCAUGGUUCAAUAGUGAAAGACGGUUGUGCUGGCACUUAUAGAGGGAUCCGCGCCGCAUUAGCUAGUUGGUAAGGUAACGGCUUACCAAGGCAACGAUGCGUAGCCGACCUGAGAGGGGGAUCGGCCACACGGGAACUGAGACACGGUCCAGACUACUACGGGAGGCAGCAGUAGGGAAUCUUCCGCAAUGGGCGAAAGCCUGACGGAGCAACGCCGCGUGAGUGAUGAAGGUCUUCGGAUCGUAAAACUCUGUUAUUAGGGAAGAACAAAUGUGUAAGUAACUAUGCACGUCUUGACGGUACCUAAUAAGAAAGCCACGGCUAACUACGUG